CGGACGGGUGAGUAAUGCUUAGGAAUCUGCCCAGUAGUGGGGGACAACUCGGGGAAACUCGAGCUAAUACCGCAUACGCCCUAUGGGGGAAAGUGGAGGAUCUUCGGACUUCACGCUAUUGGAUGAGCCUAAGUCGGAUUAGCUUGUUGGUGAGGUAAAGGCUCACCAAGGCGACGAUCCGUAGCUGGUCUGAGAGGACGAUCAGCCACACUGGGACUGAGACACGGCCCAG
Molecule: ribosomal RNA, 232 nt
Filed under: uncultured bacterium
Lineage: Bacteria
Description: partial 16S ribosomal RNA
Rfam family: Bacterial small subunit ribosomal RNA
Source: RNAcentral